RNAcentral lists this ribosomal RNA (200 nucleotides) under uncultured bacterium. RNAcentral's name for it is "partial 16S ribosomal RNA". It matches the Rfam family "Bacterial small subunit ribosomal RNA", at positions 29 to 257 of the family's 1533-position model. The record is from RNAcentral.
AGCGAACGCUGGCGGCAGGCCUAACACAUGCAAGUCGAACGGACUCUUCGGAGUUAGUGGCGGACGGGUGAGUAACACGUGGGAACGUGCCUUUAGGUUCGGAAUAGCUCCUGGAAACGGGUGGUAAUGCCGAAUGUGCCCUUCGGGGAAAGAUUUAUCGCCUUUAGAGCGGCCCGCGUCUGAUUAGCUAGUUGGUGAGG